RNAcentral lists this ribosomal RNA (468 nucleotides) under uncultured bacterium. RNAcentral's name for it is "partial 16S ribosomal RNA". It matches the Rfam family "Bacterial small subunit ribosomal RNA", at positions 28 to 507 of the family's 1533-position model. The record is from RNAcentral.
GACGAACGCUGGCGGCGUGCUUAACACAUGCAAGUCGAACGGAAAGGCCCUGCUUUUGUGGGGUGCUCGAGUGGCGAACGGGUGAGUAACACGUGAGUAACCUGCCCUUGACUUUGGGAUAACUUCAGGAAACUGGGGCUAAUACCGGAUAGGAGCUCCUGCUGCAUGGUGGGGGUUGGAAAGUUUCGGCGGUUGGGGAUGGACUCGCGGCUUAUCAGCUUGUUGGUGGGGUAGUGGCUUACCAAGGCUUUGACGGGUAGCCGGCCUGCGAGGGUGACCGGCCAAAUUGGGACUGAGAUACGGCCCAGACUCCUACGGGAGGCAGCAGUGGGGAAUAUUGCACAAUGGGCGGAAGCCUGAUGCAGCAACGCCGCGUGCGGGAUGACGGCCUUCGGGUUGUAAACCGCUUUCGCCUGUGACGAAGCGUGAGUGACGGUAAUGGGUAAAGAAGCACCGGCUAACUACGUG